CAAAGCGUAGCUAUAACACUAAAGCAUUCAGCUUACACCUGAAAGAUGUCUACCAGUACUAGACCGCCUUGA
This 72-nucleotide transfer RNA is filed under the name Lewinia striata. RNAcentral describes it as "tRNA-Val". Lineage: Eukaryota; Metazoa; Chordata; Aves; Gruiformes; Rallidae. The record is from RNAcentral.